UACGUAGGGUGCAAGCGUUGUCCGGAUUUAUUGGGUUUAAAGGGUGCGUAGGUGGCUGAUUAAGUCAUGGGGGAAAGCCCGCAGCUCAACUGUGGAAUUGCCUGUGAUACUGAUUAGCUUGAGUGCGGUUGAGGCAGCUGGAAUUGGUGGUGUAGCGGUUAAAUGCAUAGAUACCACCAGGAACACCGAUUGCGAAGGCAGGUUGAUAAGCCGUAACUGACACUGAGGCACGAAAGCGUGGGGUGCAAACAGG
This 253-nucleotide ribosomal RNA is filed under the name uncultured bacterium. RNAcentral's name for it is "partial 16S ribosomal RNA". It matches the Rfam family "Bacterial small subunit ribosomal RNA", at positions 524 to 776 of the family's 1533-position model. The record is from RNAcentral.